Molecule: long non-coding RNA, 2683 nt
Organism: Mauremys reevesii (Reeves's turtle)
Lineage: Eukaryota; Metazoa; Chordata; Testudines; Geoemydidae
Exons: 4
Source: RefSeq, a predicted model, not a curated record
CUCCUGUGUCAAAUAAACAGACUGUGAUUUAUCCUCAUUGCAAUCGGUGAACGUUAUUGAGGACAAUCAAUGGCAGGGCAUUCCUGAGAGAAGGGAAACAGAGCCCAGGUGAUGUUUCUAACUGCUGACCUUGAAAACCUCACGCUGGGACCAGAUAAUCAAGCUGGCUUCUUUCCUUCUGGGGCACCGCCACCGGUAGUAAAGGUUCUAUAGGCCAAACAGUGCCCUCGUUUACUCCCAUGAAACCUCACUGUCUUCAGUGACAGCCUUGUGUAGCUGAUUGAAACGUAGUAAACAAUUGUGUUGAGGCAUGAGAAAGAUCAGAAUCCAGCUGUGUGUUGGCUCUGCAGGCCUGGCAGGACUAAAAAGCAGCAAAACCUUUCCUCCCAUCCCCCAAAGUCUGAACAGAGGAUUCUGAAUCUACACAAGGAAUAGAUCUAAUGAGUGAAGAGGUACAAUUUGUGCAUACUGUAGUCAUUUGAGUUCAGAGCCACACCCAUUGGGUUGGGGCUAAAAUCGAAGGGAGAACUUCAGCUCUGUUGAUUUGGCCUUCAUGUUCAUUUUUAUAUUAACAUUACUAUUGAUCCUGAAUCUACAGCUAAAAAGUACUAUUGUAACUAAUGUGAUUAGAAAACCACAGCAAACAUUUGUAUCAUGUGCCAUGGGCCAACAGCUACUAACAAUGAAAGGUUACUCACCUGUCCAGUAACCUUUCAUUUCGAGUUCCUCGAGAUGGAGGCUGCAUGAGAGAAUGUGCACACCCACUUAGUCAGCAGUGCCCACGGGUCUGUGCCUGCACCCUUACAGCUCUUCGUGCUUCAGUACAAGGGCCUGCCACUGCUCCAUUUCCUUCUCAACCUCAAAGCCCAACAGGACUCCGAAGCUGAGGGGAAAGGAGAGCAGGUGGUGGAGUGGACAAUACAUCUUGAAGAACUCCAGUCACUGUAGAAGGGGUCUCAAAGGAGGAGUCUGGAAUUGGAAAGGGAUGGAAUCCUAAAUGGAGGCUGAGUCCAAGGAAGUGCCCUCUUCUGUCUCCAGUGGAGAAGCUAAAGGCACCACUACUCGUGCUCGGAUGGGUACAGGGGACUGAGGAGAGACUGGCAGCCAUGCUGGAACUGACAGAUUAAUCUUCGUAUGAGUAUGGGACAGCUGGAGGGGGAGUGGGGUCUCUUACACUUAGAAGACUUCUAGAUGACCAAAGCUGCCCUGUGGUCUCUGCUUGCCAGAGCUGAGGAAGCCACUGGAGUACUGUGAGUGACUGAGGCUGAUGUAUGGAGGAUGGAGAGUCAAGAUACUGCUGGUCUCAGCACAUCUUACACUUGGCUGGGAUGCGAGACCCUCCAAUGCAGCGGAGGCAGCUGGAGUACCCAUUACUGAGGGGAAGAGACCUGUGGCAAGUCUGGCAGAACUGGAAUCCCAGGUUAUUGGCCAUAACCUACCCAUAAAGACCACAGACUGGCAGGAGGCAAGAGCCGAAAGGCCCUGGUCGCAAAGAAAAAGGGAAAGGGCAAAUUCCCCCCUUCCAAAAGCACGAGACUGUGCUAUAAAGAAUACUAUAAAGAUAAGAUAACAUAAAAUAAAAAAUAAACCAGUUGUGUCAGCUAGCUAGUGGACACUGCAAACUCCAUCUCAAACCAGAGUGGUUGGAAGGAACUAGUGGGGCAGUGGAUCAGCCCCUCCCUAUAUGUCCUCAUACCAGUGCCCGAGGAGGCAUGGGACGCAGGCACGGAGCUGCGGGAACUGCUGACAAAACUCUCUGAUCAAGAGUGCACGGGUGUGCACACCACCUCUGGUGGAGAAUUCAUGGGGCUGUACUCAAAGAAGCUGUUCUAUGUUCGUAUUUAAGAUUACAAAGUCAGAAUAAUGAUCAUGUUGCUGUAGAUAUUAGUUGGCAUGAGUGUAACCAAUACCUUCGAAAAAGGAAGGACACACUAGUGGCUGUCAUGUUACUGGGAAAAAACGCCAAAAUCUGAUCUGCCUUCAAAUAGUAUGUAUAUGUCAGAAUAAACCUAAUGUCACCUAAGGGCUUAAUCCAAAGCCCAUAGGAGUUCUUCAGUGACUUCUGUGCAUUUUGGAUCAGGUCCCAAAUGAGAAGGAGAUGGGAGACCACAGACAGAACUUUUAGAAGGGUUCAGCACUUGCAGUUAGGACCAGGUUUUCAAGUUCUCAGCUCCCAUUUAGUCACCAAAAUUCAUGGCCAGAUUUUCAAAAGAGCUCAGCACAUUGGCUGCACAUGCUUCCCUAGGAGCUGUGGGGUGCUCGGCAAUUGGAACAUUUGGUCCUUUUUUGGGUCAGACUUACAAAGGUGACCAGCUCCCAUGCAGGCAUUUAAAGAGGGCCAGAGCUGCAAAAUAGCUCAGCAGCCAGCAGCUCCCAUUGUGACACUUAGCCAGAUUUUCAGAAGAGUCCAGCACCCAAAAUGUGCUUUUGAAAAUCUACCCCUUUAAUUGGGUGCCUAACUGGGAGCUGAGCUCUUGUGAAAGUCUGGCCCCAACAGUGGGUGCUAAGCCCUUGGAGAUCUGACCCUGGGAUCUUGUGAAAAGCUGACCUCAUGGCUGAAAGACUCUCCGACAUUCUCUAUGAAUGGGAAUCAGAACCCUGAACAGUAUAAGUACUUCCAGCUCCCCACUGCUACAGUCAGUCUAUUAUCUCCACUUUCUAACCUGCCGAAAUAAUAAAACCC